RNAcentral lists this ribosomal RNA (1439 nucleotides) under Vibrio sp. S7-74B. RNAcentral's name for it is "bacterial SSU rRNA". It matches the Rfam family "Bacterial small subunit ribosomal RNA". The record is from RNAcentral. Lineage: Bacteria; Pseudomonadati; Pseudomonadota; Gammaproteobacteria; Vibrionales; Vibrionaceae.
GGCCUAACACAUGCAAGUCGAGCGGAAACGAGUUAUCUGAACCUUCGGGGAACGAUAACGGCGUCGAGCGGCGGACGGGUGAGUAAUGCCUAGGAAAUUGCCCUGAUGUGGGGGAUAACCAUUGGAAACGAUGGCUAAUACCGCAUAAUGCCUACGGGCCAAAGAGGGGGACCUUCGGGCCUCUCGCGUCAGGAUAUGCCUAGGUGGGAUUAGCUAGUUGGUGAGGUAAUGGCUCACCAAGGCGACGAUCCCUAGCUGGUCUGAGAGGAUGAUCAGCCACACUGGAACUGAGACACGGUCCAGACUCCUACGGGAGGCAGCAGUGGGGAAUAUUGCACAAUGGGCGCAAGCCUGAUGCAGCCAUGCCGCGUGUGUGAAGAAGGCCUUCGGGUUGUAAAGCACUUUCAGUCGUGAGGAAGGUAGUGUAGUUAAUAGCUGCAUUAUUUGACGUUAGCGACAGAAGAAGCACCGGCUAACUCCGUGCCAGCAGCCGCGGUAAUACGGAGGGUGCGAGCGUUAAUCGGAAUUACUGGGCGUAAAGCGCAUGCAGGUGGUUUGUUAAGUCAGAUGUGAAAGCCCGGGGCUCAACCUCGGAAUAGCAUUUGAAACUGGCAGACUAGAGUACUGUAGAGGGGGGUAGAAUUUCAGGUGUAGCGGUGAAAUGCGUAGAGAUCUGAAGGAAUACCGGUGGCGAAGGCGGCCCCCUGGACAGAUACUGACACUCAGAUGCGAAAGCGUGGGGAGCAAACAGGAUUAGAUACCCUGGUAGUCCACGCCGUAAACGAUGUCUACUUGGAGGUUGUGGCCUUGAGCCGUGGCUUUCGGAGCUAACGCGUUAAGUAGACCGCCUGGGGAGUACGGUCGCAAGAUUAAAACUCAAAUGAAUUGACGGGGGCCCGCACAAGCGGUGGAGCAUGUGGUUUAAUUCGAUGCAACGCGAAGAACCUUACCUACUCUUGACAUCCAGAGAACUUUCCAGAGAUGGAUUGGUGCCUUCGGGAACUCUGAGACAGGUGCUGCAUGGCUGUCGUCAGCUCGUGUUGUGAAAUGUUGGGUUAAGUCCCGCAACGAGCGCAACCCUUAUCCUUGUUUGCCAGCGAGUAAUGUCGGGAACUCCAGGGAGACUGCCGGUGAUAAACCGGAGGAAGGUGGGGACGACGUCAAGUCAUCAUGGCCCUUACGAGUAGGGCUACACACGUGCUACAAUGGCGCAUACAGAGGGCAGCAAGCUAGCGAUAGUGAGCGAAUCCCAAAAAGUGCGUCGUAGUCCGGAUUGGAGUCUGCAACUCGACUCCAUGAAGUCGGAAUCGCUAGUAAUCGUGGAUCAGAAUGCCACGGUGAAUACGUUCCCGGGCCUUGUACACACCGCCCGUCACACCAUGGGAGUGGGCUGCAAAAGAAGUAGGUAGUUUAACCUUCGGGAGGACGCUUACCACUUU